Molecule: unclassified non-coding RNA, 240 nt
Filed under: soil metagenome
Description: partial contains 5.8S ribosomal RNA, internal transcribed spacer 2, and large subunit ribosomal RNA
Source: RNAcentral
AACAUCGCGCACCUGCGGGAACCUGCGGAAGGAUCAUUAAUGAUUGGUGGCUGUUGCCGACUAGUGUUUCUAGUAUGUGCACGCCACACCUUCAAUCCCACUUACACCUGUGCACCUUCUGUAAUAGAUCUAUGUGGAUACGGAGAUAUGAAAGUUUGCGCUCUCGUACUCUGUUGAAGCAGUCUACUACGUUUUUUUACACACACACAAUAGUCAUUGAAUGUAUUUUUUAUUCUUAUG